CCCAUUUAGGAAAGAAUAAAAGUAAAUGAAGACACCCUGAACAAAACCACACUGCAAAACUUAGGAUCAAAUGAAGAUUGCUGUGCAGAUUCAGAGUUAAUACACGCCCAGCAAUUGAACAGCUCCUGACAUGUCUACUUAAGUGUUAGCUCUGAUUACUUUUCUGGUAAGGUGGGAAGACAGGUAAUAAAUAAAUAAGCAGGUGAUAUGAAAGAGCAAUGGAAAGACGUUAGAUUGAACACUUAAAGAAGUCCUCUGGUGAUGGGCUAACAUUUGAGCUGAGACCGGAAAGGUCUCUGAUGCCAUUAGUACAUAGCAAAGAGAAGAUAAACAGUGAAGGUUAAGAAGAUAAAUGUCUGUGACUUCCACAGCUUUACUGUUACUAGUGGAUUUGUGGCCAUCCGUGGUAGACAUAUUUUAAGAGAUCUGUCCAGACCACAUUCCCUUCUCUAAGAAUUGAUUCUCCAUUCACCAAUGGAAAGAGCCCAUUAGCCAUGUUUAUUAUCACAUGACCCAGCAACCUCAGCCUCAGCUGAUUGGACCAAGAAAGAACACCUGACCCAAACUGGGCUAAUCACACUUUGCCCCCAGGAGAAGUGCUAGUUAAUCUCUGUUGAUUGUACAAUCCAAGGACAGAUAGGCUUGGAAACUGUAGGUAGCCAUCUUCUGCCAAAUGCCUGUAGAAGCAAAGCACAUUGAUCUGCCACGAAGCACAGAUGAGUGAUCCACUGGU
Orcinus orca (killer whale) is the source of this 733-nucleotide long non-coding RNA. RefSeq lists it as uncharacterized. The transcript has 3 exons. The record is from RefSeq and is a predicted model, not a curated record. NCBI's taxonomy places the organism in Eukaryota, Metazoa, Chordata, Mammalia, Artiodactyla, Delphinidae.